GACGAACGCUGGCGGCGUGCCUAACACAUGCAAGUCGAACGGAGUUGACCUUCGGGUUAACUUAGUGGCGAACGGGUGAGUAACGCGUGAGGAACCUGCCUUUCAGUGGGGGACAACAGUUGGAAACGACUGCUAAUACCGCAUAAUGCAAUCGAGCGGCAUCGCUUGGUUGCCAAAGAUUUAUUGCUGAAAGAUGGCCUCGCGUCUGAUUAGCUAGUUGGUGAGGUAACGGCUCACCAAGGCGACGAUCAGUAGCCGGUCUGAGAGGAUGAACGGCCACAUUGGGACUGAGAUACGGCCCNGACUCCUACGGGAGGCAGGCAGUGGGGGAAUAUUGGGCAA
This 342-nucleotide ribosomal RNA is filed under the name uncultured bacterium. RNAcentral's name for it is "bacterial SSU rRNA". It matches the Rfam family "Bacterial small subunit ribosomal RNA", at positions 28 to 371 of the family's 1533-position model. The record is from RNAcentral.